This 3016-nucleotide long non-coding RNA is filed under the name Homo sapiens (human). RNAcentral describes it as "HSALNT0093960". The record is from RNAcentral. Lineage: Eukaryota; Metazoa; Chordata; Mammalia; Primates; Hominidae.
CAAAAAUUAAAAAUAUUAAAAGAAAAAAAGAAAACACAUGAUCAAUUCUUCCUGAAAAAGGUUAAAAAAAAAAAAGGUUUUAAGAAGAUGAUGUUUGAUUUAGAUCUUCAGACUAUAGGAAUUCACCAGACAGAGAGGUGAAUGAAGAACCUUCAAGCCUGGAAACAGCAUAAGGCAGACAGGCAGAAGCACGUGGCAUCUACGCUCAAUGACGGAGCCUUCCUACUCCAACAGAGGCUUGAGUGGAGGCAUUGGCAUCGCCUGGGAGCUUGCUAGAAAUGCAGAAUCUCAAGCUCCAUCCUUGGACUUCUGAAUCAGAAUCUACAUUUUAACGAUAUUUCUAGGUGAUUUGUAUGCCCACUUGAGAUGAAAACACACCAGUUUAGAGGGCUUUCGUUGUUGGAGUGUUGGAAGUCCAUGCAGCUGGAAAAGGUGGACAGAAACUAGAUAAGGACACAACAAGACUACAAUAUUUAGAAGCCUGAAGUUCAUCCCAUAGCCAUGGGUAAACCACCCAAAGUUUUGUGAAGAGCAGAAUAAUAUUACAAAAAUCAAUGUUUUAGGAUGCUAAUGCUUUUAGAAAACAGUGAAGAAGAAAACUACCUAGGGUAUUUUUGUAACAAUUUAGAUAAGAGACUAUGAUAAAUCCCUGGCCUGAGACAAUGGUAGUAAAAAUGGAAAGAAUGAGACAUAUUUCAGAGACAUGCCACAAAAAGGAUUGCCAAGAUUUUAUCAUAGCUGUAAGAGGCCAAAAUUAGACAGGGAAGACUGAGAAAAGGAGUCACUCUAGGAAGUGACUAGUUUCAAGAUGAACUAUAAUAUAUUGUUGAAGGCAAAAGUAAGUGAAAGCUGUAAGAGCUAUAAAGGGAAAGAAACUUCAAAACUAGGAUGCCAGAUGGGUCAACGGUAAUAACACCAGUCAUUUAUUCAGUCAUUCAUUUAUUCAAAAAUGUUUGUUAAUUGUCUGGUAAUUGCCAGUUUCUUAUCAGCACUGAGGAAACUCUGAGUCUCUGUCCACAAGAUCUCAUGUUCUAGAAGAGACGGAAAACAAAUAGGUAGAUGAAUGAAUAUGCAAUUUUUUUUAGGUGGAGAUUAGAGUUAGUGUUAUUUUUUAAAAGUAUGGUAAGCUCAAUAGUCAGAAGCUAUUUUAAUUUUUUUUUUUUUUUUGAGACAGGCUCUUGUACUGUCACGAGGCUCAAGUGCAGUGGCAUGAUCAUGGCUCACUGAAGCCUCAACCUCCUGGGCUCAAGCCAUCCUCCCACCUCAGCCUCCCAAGUAGCUGAAACUACAGACUCAUGCCACCACACCUGACUAGUUUUUUAAAAAAAAAAUUUUUAGAGAUGGGGUCUCAUUAUGUUGCUCAGGUUGAUCUUGAACUUCUGGCCUCAAGUGAUCCUUCUGCUUCAGCCUCCCAAAGUGCUUGGAUUACAGGGGUAAGCCACUGAACCUGGCCUCAGAGGCCAUUUUAAGUACAGAGCUCAGGAAAGGGCUCUGUGAGCAUGGCCGUUCAUGGCAAAGGAAAAAGGUGAUGUAUGUAGAACCAACUUGGGAAAUUCAACUACUUUAAGAAGACAUUUAUUUUGUUUCACUGUUUUGCAGGAAAAAAAAAUGGAGUCAAAAUUAUUUUAAUAACCAAGAUGAUAACUUACAUUUCCAUGAUUUUCAUAGUUUUAUACUUUUACAUAUGUUAUCACAUCUGACUCAUAUAAUCCUUUUGAAAGGGAGAGAGGACAGGUUUUACAGAUAAAAAGUCCAAAUUUAAAAUAGGUGGGGUAAUUUGGUCAAGAUUCCAUAAUUAAAAAUUAUGAGAUCUUUUGACUUAUAGAUGAGUUAACUAUUAAAUGAUUAAUUAUACAUUAAAGUUUGUUAAGCAUAGAAAAGAGAGAGACUCAGGCUACAGAUCUAAAAAUAUAAACUUCUUUAUGUUAGAUUAAAGAUGGCUGCAAUUUUUUUUUUUUUUUUUUGAGACAGUCUUGCUCUGUCACCCAGGCUAGAGUGCAGUGGUGCAAUCUCAUCUCACUGCAACCUCUGCCUCACGGGUUCAAGCAAUUCUCCUGCCUCAGCUUCCCAAGUAGCUGGGAUUACAGGCACGCACCACCAUGCCCAGAUAAUUUUUGUAUUUUUAGUAGAGACGCGGUUUCACCAUGCUGGCCAGGCUGAUCUUGAACUCCUGACCUUGUGAUCUGCCCGCCUUGGCCUCCCAAAGUGCUGGGAUUACAGGCGUGAGCCAUGGCACCAGGCCUUCUAUCCAGGAGUGAAGUCUAAUUCCCAUCCUUUUGUAUCUGGGUAGGUGUAGUUACUAAAUUACAAAUGAAAGAUUGAGAUGGUGAUAAGAUAUACUUUAUGAUUAGGCUUCUUCAUAGGCUAGACCCACAGAAGCCUAGCAGCAGGAUUCUGUCUCUCUAGGUAACAUCACUCACUCUGGGGAAAAGCUAGCCACUAUGUAAAAAAAAAAAAAAAAAAAAAAAAAAAAAAAAAAAAAAGGGAAAAGAAAAGUCUGAGCAUUUUGAAAUCCCCAUGCCAUGAAGAAGAUCAAUGAGCCAUGUGGGGAAGCUGCAUGAUGACAAAUAUCCAACUUUUUCCAGCUAUUCCAGCCAUGCCAAGCCCCAACCCAAUACAUAUGAGUGAAGACACCUUCAGAUUACUCUAGAUUCAGCCACCUCUAGCUGCUAUUUCAUGGCAACCACAUAAGAAAUCCCUAGUGAAAACCACCCUGCUGGAUCCGGUCAAGCCACAGAACUGAGAUAGUAAUAAAUUAUUGUUUGAUGCCAUCAAGUUUGGGGGAAGGCAUGCAAUAGCAUUAAAAACGUAAAUAAAUGGAUACUAACUGAACAAAGGACUUUGAAAUUAUUUUUUUUCUUUCAUAGGUAUCACAUUCUACAACAACCACAUAAACAUCCACAUAAUUCAAAGGAUAUUAAAAAAAGUAAUGACUUAUUUUGGAUUUAUAAGGUGUUUUAGAUGUAGUGCUCUGAGGAAACAAUACAGCAUCAAAGAAUGUUAAAUCUGUAAGAUG